RNAcentral lists this transfer RNA (64 nucleotides) under Mesocricetus auratus (golden hamster). It matches the Rfam family "tRNA". Rfam says of the family: Transfer RNA (tRNA) molecules are approximately 80 nucleotides in length. Their secondary structure includes four short double-helical elements and three loops (D, anti-codon, and T loops). Further hydrogen bonds mediate the characteristic L-shaped molecular structure. tRNAs have two regions of fundamental functional importance: the anti-codon, which is responsible for specific mRNA codon recognition, and the 3' end, to which the tRNAs corresponding amino acid is attached (by aminoacyl-tRNA synthetases). tRNAs cope with the degeneracy of the genetic code in two manners: having more than one tRNA (with a specific anti-codon) for a particular amino acid; and 'wobble' base-pairing, i.e. permitting non-standard base-pairing at the 3rd anti-codon position. Lineage: Eukaryota; Metazoa; Chordata; Mammalia; Rodentia; Cricetidae. The record is from Rfam by way of RNAcentral.
GAGGGUGUAGCUCAGUGGGCAGAGCACUUGCCUCACACGCAUGAAGACCCAGCUUCCACCCGCA